Molecule: ribosomal RNA, 465 nt
Filed under: Vreelandella stevensii
Lineage: Bacteria; Pseudomonadati; Pseudomonadota; Gammaproteobacteria; Oceanospirillales; Halomonadaceae
Description: partial 16S ribosomal RNA
Rfam family: Bacterial small subunit ribosomal RNA
Source: RNAcentral
CCUACGGGGGGCUGCAGUGGGGAAUAUUGGACAAUGGGGGCAACCCUGAUCCAGCCAUGCCGCGUGUGUGAAGAAGGCCCUCGGGUUGGAAAGCACUUUCAGUGAGGAAGAACGCCUGGUGGUUAAUACCCAUCAGGAAAGACAUCACUCACAGAAGAAGCACCGGCUAACUCCGUGCCAGCAGCCGCGGUAAUACGGAGGGUGCGAGCGUUAAUCGGAAUUACUGGGCGUAAAGCGCGCGUAGGUGGCUUGAUAAGCCGGUUGUGAAAGCCCCGGGCUCAACCUGGGAACGGCAUCCGGAACUGUCAAGCUAGAGUGCAGGAGAGGAAGGUAGAAUUCCCGGUGUAGAGGUGAAAUGCGUAGAGAUCGGGAGGAAUACCAGUGGCGAAGGCGGCCUUCUGGACUGACACUGACACUGAGGUGCGAAAGCGUGGGUAGCAAACAGGAUUAGAUACCCCAGUAGUC